Molecule: small RNA, 29 nt
Filed under: Bombyx mori (domestic silkworm)
Lineage: Eukaryota; Metazoa; Arthropoda; Insecta; Lepidoptera; Bombycidae
Description: ovarian small RNA-24939
Source: RNAcentral
UCAAUUUCAAACUCGAAAUUUUGAAGAAA